UUCACUCUCUUCUCCACCUUAGAUCCGCGUCCAAACUCGCCAAAUCUCAGGCGAGUGAGCCAAAAUCACUCACACGCACCUUAUCUCACCACGUCAGCAAGAUUCUAACGGCUUCUGACAUUUUCCUUCUCUCGCUGGAUUCGUUUUGGAAUUUCUGAAGAAUGAAUUCCGAAAAUGGGAGCCGUGGAUUGAUUUGAGGAUCAAUCCUCUCCUUCCAUCUGUCAGGGUUCAUUCUAGAAGAGAUUUACUUCCGGAUUUCUUGUGAAAAAUGAAAAAUUCGAGAGAGGGGGCUAUAUAUACCAGGUCUGAUUUGAGGCGAGGGGAGGAUUUUUUUUGGAGGCAGAGGUCACUUGAGAAAAUUAGGGUUCUAGAAAAAGCUUCUCUUCUUCUCUUUUGUUCAUCUGCAUUUUUUUUGUUUAAUUCCAGUCACAAUAGAAAAAUAUAUACAAAAAAAAAAAAUGUUUCGUUUGAUAUUAGCAACUCUGUUCUCUUCACCUUUUAAUUCAGAAAUUUCAUCUUUAUUAUGAGUUUGACUGAGGUUCGAGAUUAGGUGUUAGUCGCCGAUUGGAGAUUCUGUCCGAGCUUGUUGUUUUGGUUCGAGUUUCUGUUCUAGCUGUGGUAUCGAUUUUGUUCGUGUAUUUGCUGAAUAUUUUUGAGGAAUUGAAACUCCAAUCUUCAGGUGCAGUUCUUUCUUUCUUCUCAUGUCUCUCUGUAUGUGUGGAUCCAAGUAUGGUUGAAUCUUAAGAUAUGGAGAUUAAAAUUACAUGUCAUACCUAAGUAAAUGUCAGUAAUUGCAGGCUCGAGUUGUUGUCAUUUUCUGCAUUUUUGUUUAUUUCCUUUAUAAAUCAGUGUGUUUGAGUUCAUCAUGUGUUUGGAACAUCCUGCAAGGUCGGAUUUGCUUUAUCUUGGUGUGAAUGAUUGAGGUUUGAAUCGAGUAUGUGGUUGUUAGAUGAGGUGCAGUGUCUGUUUGUCAAUUCAGUGGCAUUUACAGAACUUCUCACACGUCUCGAAUGCAAUACGAGUUUAUGAAAUUAGUGACCAUUCAUUUUUCUGCUGUUGUGUUGCUUAGUCAGGGGUGUUUAUCAG
Molecule: long non-coding RNA, 1086 nt
Filed under: Nicotiana tabacum (common tobacco)
Lineage: Eukaryota; Viridiplantae; Streptophyta; Magnoliopsida; Solanales; Solanaceae
Description: long non-coding RNA (NTAB_LNC012758)
Source: RNAcentral